UUGAAAUGAUGAAAAAUUGGUUUUCACUGCUACACAGAAAGAAUCUUUCAGCAGGGGUAUAUAUUGGGAAAGAUUGUUCUUUUAUUAGAUAUUUAUUUGCGUGUGCUUAUCCAUGGGAAUCAUCUGCUCAGGUCAGCUAUGUACUAGGAGGGGUAGCAAGGAAUGUUGCUGAGUGCAUAUCAAA
RNAcentral lists this small RNA (184 nucleotides) under Prunus dulcis (almond). RNAcentral's name for it is "sRNA ncRNA". Lineage: Eukaryota; Viridiplantae; Streptophyta; Magnoliopsida; Rosales; Rosaceae. The record is from RNAcentral.